GGCGCGUAGCUCAGUUGGUUAGAGCACCACCUUGACAUGGUGGGGGUCGUUGGUUCGAGUCCAAUCGUGCCUACCA
RNAcentral lists this transfer RNA (76 nucleotides) under Cardiobacterium hominis. Its description in RNAcentral is "tRNA-Val(gac)". It matches the Rfam family "tRNA". From Rfam's summary of the family: Transfer RNA (tRNA) molecules are approximately 80 nucleotides in length. Their secondary structure includes four short double-helical elements and three loops (D, anti-codon, and T loops). Further hydrogen bonds mediate the characteristic L-shaped molecular structure. tRNAs have two regions of fundamental functional importance: the anti-codon, which is responsible for specific mRNA codon recognition, and the 3' end, to which the tRNAs corresponding amino acid is attached (by aminoacyl-tRNA synthetases). tRNAs cope with the degeneracy of the genetic code in two manners: having more than one tRNA (with a specific anti-codon) for a particular amino acid; and 'wobble' base-pairing, i.e. permitting non-standard base-pairing at the 3rd anti-codon position. The record is from RNAcentral. Lineage: Bacteria; Pseudomonadati; Pseudomonadota; Gammaproteobacteria; Cardiobacteriales; Cardiobacteriaceae. RNAcentral also lists the same sequence under 1 other name.